RNAcentral lists this ribosomal RNA (254 nucleotides) under uncultured bacterium. RNAcentral's name for it is "partial 16S ribosomal RNA". It matches the Rfam family "Bacterial small subunit ribosomal RNA", at positions 524 to 777 of the family's 1533-position model. The record is from RNAcentral.
UACGAAGGGGGCUAGCGUUGUUCGGAAUCACUGGGCGUAAAGCGCUCGUAGGCGGAUCUUUAAGUCAGGGGUGAAAUCCCGAGGCUCAACCUCGGAACUGCCUUUGAUACUGGGGAUCUCGAGUCCGGGAGAGGUGAGUGGAACUGCGAGUGUAGAGGUGAAAUUCGUAGAUAUUCGCAAGAACACCAGUGGCGAAGGCGACCGCCUGGCCCAACACUGACGCUGAGGUGCGAAAGCGUGGGUAGCAAACAGGA